Long non-coding RNA from Esox lucius (northern pike), 483 nucleotides. NCBI's taxonomy places the organism in Eukaryota, Metazoa, Chordata, Actinopteri, Esociformes, Esocidae. The record is from Ensembl.
UGUCAAGGCAAAGACGUGAUAACUAACGAGAACAGGGUUUCUACCGGACCGGAAGUAUCAAUCAGUGGAAUUGGGUGUCAAAUGUAAACACCUGAACUAAAUAGUUUAGCUUUAUCCGUAUCACAAUUUUAUUUAAUGUUAACAAUAUAGUUCUCAAUUGAUGAAUGGUGAUGUGUAACCAGUGACAGAGUUAAUAGGCGUAACCUUUUGGAGGCAUACCGGUUGUGUUGUCAUUAUUCAAUCUUUGGCUGCCACAGUAGACAUCUACCGUUUCGAGUGCGUAGUAGGCAGCUUACAUAUUUAGGGGUAAGUGGAGUUCAACACAGCCUUGUUUGGAAAACACCUUUUUGGUCCUUCAGACCUUGACCAAGUAACAAACAUCGGUGUCAGCUAUGCUGCGGUUGUGAUUUUCCGCAAGGUUGUGAACCGAUGCUUCUUGUUGUGGAGCGGGUGAUGUUGAUGACUACAACACCAUAAUGCAGG